Molecule: ribosomal RNA, 422 nt
Filed under: Candidatus Omnitrophota bacterium
Lineage: Bacteria; Pseudomonadati; Candidatus Omnitrophota
Description: partial 23S ribosomal RNA
Rfam family: Bacterial large subunit ribosomal RNA
Source: RNAcentral
GGUCAAGCUACAAAGGGUUUAUGAAGGAUGACUUGGUUAGGUGAGGCGAUGAAGGACGGGGUAAGCACCGAUAUGUCUCGGGGAGUCGCAAACAGGCUUUGAUCCGGGAGAUUCCGAAUGGGGCAACCCAUCGCAGGUUAUACUGCGAAAUCCCCGCGAUGAAUUCAAUAGUUGCGGGGAAGCGAUACCAGGAGAAUUGAAACAUCUAAGUACCCUGAGGAAAAGAAAUCACAGAGAUUCCCCCAGUAGCGGCGAGCGAAAAGGGAAGAGCCUAAACCAUUUUUCCGUAAGGAAAAAUGGGGUUGCGGGACCUCAAUGUGGCAGAUGGAAGGAUAGCAGAAAUGUAUGGGAAGACAUACUAUAGAGAGUGAAAGUCUCGUAUGCGAAAUUCUGAAGUCGCCUAGGGGUAUCCCAAGUACUAC